CUGAGAAGGAUUUAGUACUGGGUGCAGUUUGGGAGGAAAUAGUGUAAGCACUUGGAACCUCUAAGAAUAAACAUGGGAAUGAGCUGCCCUUUGAGAGGGGCCUAGAGGUCAAUAAAGGGGUGGGACUACAAGUGACCUGAGUGGUGAGAAGGAGCAAACUGCGUGCUCUGAGUGGCUGUUGAUGGAGGGUGCUAGAGUUGAAGACACACUACACCUGGCCAUGAAGGGGUGCUCUAGUUGCUCAGAGAGGUGUGACUGUUCCACAUUUCAGAGAGAUAAGGUAUUACAGGAAAACUUGUACUCAAAAUGUGCUGAAAGCAGCAGAGAAGGAAAAAAUGCUCAUGCCUUGAGGAUAGAGUACUGGACUGGGACUUUAUUCCUGGCUCUGCAACUAGCCUUCUGGGUGGCCUUGGGCAAAUCACUUCACCUCUCUGUGCCUCAGUUACACCAUGUGUAAAAGGAGAAUGAUACUGACCUUGGUAAAGCGCUGUGGAUGCAAAGCACUGUAUAACAGCUAAGUGCAAUCAUCAAGAAAAGACCUGAGUUGUGCUGCGGAUUCCCCAUUGAAUGAGCAUGCUUCAUAUUUGGCACAAAAAAGAACGAUCUGUAUUAAUAGAACUGGCAGAAUACUGCAAAACAACAUGAACAUAAAAAUCAGUUUGGACAUGCUAGCACAAAUAUUUAUAGAAAGUGAUUUUGCUUUCCCAGGACACUUGCACUAGAAACCUGAUUCUAAGGCUCUGUCUACUCUGCACUGUCAUUGGUAAAAACUUUUGUCAGUAAGGGGCGUGGGGGGGAAAAAAACACAUUCCUGAUCAACAGAAGUUUUGCCGAUGACAAGCACCAAUGUGGCCAGCACCAUGUUAGUGGGAGAUGCUCUCCCGUCCACAAAGCUACUGCCCCUGGUUGGGGGUGGUUUUAUUUUGUCAGCAGGAGAGUAUGGGGGAAAAUUAGGUUUAGGUUUUGGUUCAUUUUGGUCAUUACGAAACCUAAACCUAAUUUCUCCCUACUAUUACUCACACCUUUUUGUCAACUGUUUGAAAUGGGCCACUCUCA
Long non-coding RNA from Chelonia mydas (Green sea turtle), 1056 nucleotides. RefSeq lists it as uncharacterized. Lineage: Eukaryota; Metazoa; Chordata; Testudines; Cheloniidae. The record is from RefSeq and is a predicted model, not a curated record. The transcript has 4 exons.